This 2412-nucleotide long non-coding RNA is filed under the name Homo sapiens (human). Its description in RNAcentral is "HSALNT0221334". The record is from RNAcentral. Lineage: Eukaryota; Metazoa; Chordata; Mammalia; Primates; Hominidae.
GUAGGUGGGGCCACAAGCAUGCACUGCCAUGCCUGGCUAAUUUUUGUAUUUUUUGUAGAGAUGAGGUUUCAUCAUGUUGCCCAGACUGGUCUCGAACUCCUGGGCUCACAUGAUCCUCCCGCCUUGACCUCCCAAAGUGUUAGGAUUACAGGCGUGACCCACCACACCCAGCCUAAAGAGUCAUAAUUUUAAUGGUUACAUAAUGUUCUGUCUUGUCAAUGCACAGUAGUUCACCAACCAUUUCCUUAUUUGAGAUAUUUAUAUUGCUUCUAAAUUUCAGAUAUUGAAAUAACUUUUUGAUAAAUAUACUUGUGGAGGUUUUUAUGUUAAAUAUAGCCUUAGCAGAAACCCCACGGGUGCAAUUACUAAGUCAGAGGGUGUGUCUUUGCCCUGCAACACACAAAGCUUUCCCUUUGAUGACGAUUGUUUACUUAAAGCCCUGGGGACUCCCAAAUGCCUGGGAAUCUUCAUUUUAGACUUAACCUAUUUUAGGCUUGGUUUUGUUUUACUGCAUUCUCAGGAGAGCAAAGGAGACAGCUGGGAGCAGAUGGGCAAAUCCCAGUUUGCCCAAAGAAAUGUCUAUUUUCCAAGGGGCAUGAAGAAUUUAGGAAUAAAGCAGAUCUGAUUUCUAAUUCUGACUUUGCUACUGGCAAAUUGUGUGGACUCAGGAAAGUGACCGGCCCUCUUUAAGACUCAGUGUGCUUACCUCUGAAAUGGAGCUGUCAAUCACAUCUGCCUCACAGGCUUGUUCUGAGGAUGAAGUGAGAAAAUGCCCACGAGGUGCUGGUUGCAGCAGCUGGUGCAUAGAGCUUAAAAAGGAUGCAGUCCCAAAACAUAGAAGGAUUUACUCCAGAUCCAAGCAAUGAGUCAGGAACAGAAAGCCUGAUGCCCUCACCUGGAACUCUCCCUCCUCCCUGGAUGAGGACCUUCCCCAGAAUUGCAGGGCACCCACACAAGACCAAGCAAGUUCAGAGAAAAUUGAAACCUGACUUUAGAGCCUCUGGGAUGUUCACUACACCUCAUUGAACCUGUUUGGUUCACAGAGCUCCAACUACCGUCUACUUCCUGCAACUGGCCUGCUGCCAACUCCCCAGAUCUCUUGUGGAGCUGCCGGAAGAGACAGCCUGCCACAGAAGAAAGCAGCCCUCCUCUUUCAUGGCCUCCCACAUCUUGAAACAAACACAAGCAAACAAAACAAAAGCUUGAGUCCCAGCCUGAUUCACCAGGUUUGGUUCCCAAUUGUUGAAAUUCCCUUCCCAGGGCUCUCAGAACCAGGGUUGGCUGGAGGGGUGAAAGAGGCUGGCCCUGAGCCCAGUAAUAGGACACCAAGGGGGAGCUAAAAGCUGGGAUCUGGGGUGAAGAUGGGGUCUUCCAAGCUGGGAGGCAGACACCAGGCCAGAGCAACCGGCCUGCCCCAGCUCAGGCCUCUUAACCCAUGCAGGGCAAGAGUAUAAACAGAGGCCACGGACCACAUGCCUCAGUAUUUAAACUUAUAAAUCAAGCUAACAUAACAUGAAAUCAAAUAUGUUCUAUCCUCCUAGCUUGACAAAUACUUUCAUAACGAGAUGGAAUGCCAGGUUCAGAUUUAGAAUUUUCACACUCCUUAAAGUUCCAAGUCAAAAUACAGCAUUAGGGGAGGGCCCCCAACCUCGAGGUCUCCCCUCCCCCAUUUUCUUUCACUCCCAGCUCUGUCUCACACCACGAGGGAUCUUGGGUGAAUGCCCCUCGAUACCCCAGCCCCCCACAAACAGCUGCCCUUUCCCCCCUUGGCCAAGGGUAAGCACAGCAGCAGGGCAGUCUGCCCUUGGCUGGAGAGAUGGAAGGAGAGGCCACACGGGCCCUGAAAAUGCAUUUGGGGACUCUUGGGCAGGAAACUUGGGAGUUUCUGGAGCCUCAAGGAGGGUCUAGUGGGACAGAGCCACUUGGGCCCAUGAGAUCCUUGACCCAUGGAGAAGGGUAGGGCUAGAGGAGGGCCAGGGCAGGCCCUAUGAACAGAAGAACCUAGAGUAACUGCCCUGUCCCCAGAUCCUGUCACCGAGCAGGUAUACUUGGGAGGGUAUUGGAGGGUGGAACCCAAGGGAGCUUGCCCAAGGCACUAGGAAAGAAAAGUGUAAACCUUGUUAGAGAAUGCUAAGGAUAGCUGUUAAAGCCUCAGAGAUUUUACUCAUUUUUGGCUGUUUCUAAAAAUCUUCCCCCAAAGGAAGAUCUUGCUCUCAUUGAGGAUCUGAGAAAGAAUUCUCUCCAAGUAGUUUCAAAACAUUCUGAUGUAAAAACUCUGGUGUGUUAGUCAAAAAUAAAUUUUGUUGCUUGAUGGCUUCACCAUUCACAAAAUAUUCUAUCCAUCCAAUUUAAAAAUAAGAGCAGGGUAUUUAAAACUCUUUCAAUAAACACAAAUUAAAACAAUGAAGCUUG